GGUUUUGGCUUCGUUUGAGCUGGGCCCGCUAGGUUUCAGUUUCGGUAAUGAUGGUUCUAGACAUUGCUCCAAUGUCUUUCCUCAAAUGGGUAUUCUUUGGUUGCUUGCUUUGUUCAUCUUUUGCUCUCGAAACCUCAUCCCAUUCCUGUGACCCAAGUGAUUAUCCAUCACUGAAGGAAUUUGCUGAAAAUGGAGGAUCCAAGUUUGGGUCUUUGGGUUCUAUGGGUGUGGGUGUAAACAAGCACCAUGCUGUGGCCCUUCAAAUGGAUUCUCCAAGGUUUCCUCACCGCCAACCACUAGCCAUUUUUGGGAUUUUUGUUUUAAUUCUUAGUGAACUAUUUUAGUUAAUUUUCUGUUGAAAUUAUUCUUUAUUGCAUUGUUAAUGUUCUUCUGCUUCUGGACUUUGAUGAAUUGUAGGAGAUUUUUUCUCUUUUUUUAAAUUCUGUUUUUUAUUUUAAAAUUUAAUCAUUUUGUGGGUCCCACAUAACCUGACUUCUC
RNAcentral lists this unclassified non-coding RNA (498 nucleotides) under Hevea brasiliensis (rubber tree). The record is from RNAcentral. Lineage: Eukaryota; Viridiplantae; Streptophyta; Magnoliopsida; Malpighiales; Euphorbiaceae.